UACGGGGGGGGCAAGCGUUGUUCGGAUUUACUGGGCGUAAAGGGCGCGUAGGCGGCCCGCCAAGUCACUUGUGAAAUCUCCGGGCUUAACCCGGAGCGGCCAAGUGAUACUGACGGGCUGGAGUGCGGAAGGGGCCACCGGAAUUCUCGGUGUAGCGGUGAAAUGCGUAGAUAUCGAGAGGAACACCUGAGGUGAAGACGGGUUGCUGGGCUGACACUGACGCUGAGGCGCGAAAGCCAGGGGAGCAAACGGG
Molecule: ribosomal RNA, 253 nt
Filed under: uncultured bacterium
Lineage: Bacteria
Description: partial 16S ribosomal RNA
Rfam family: Bacterial small subunit ribosomal RNA
Source: RNAcentral